UGAAAAUCAGCAGCAAAUAUAUUCCUCCCUUCUUCACGGUCAGCCACACACCUGUUACAAAAUAAGAGCUUUUACAGCUGAACCUUUCUAUACUCAUGUUUAUAUUCACAGUUAUAAUAUAGCUGCAAGUUUACUGCACACAGAGUGAUUAUUUUGUCAUUGUCUUGAUUCUCACUGACCCAAAGGUGACAUGAACGUCUAUGAGUCAUGUAGACCUUCUGAAAACACUGGUGGACGAACAGAUGACUACAGAAAUAUCUCUCUUCAGCUCAGAAGUGUCGAACAGAGGAGAAAGCGUGAUGAUCCAGAGGAAACCUCUGACUACCAUAACGUAGAUCCAAACUCAGCUACAGGUCCCUAAAGAGAGGCACGGCAUCAAUAAAACAAGAGAAGGUCAACAGCAACAUGAAAAAACAAACAAAAACAUAAAAAAAAAACAUUAUGUCAGUGAUAUGGCAGCAUAUGGCUUCAUGCUGAGAAAGAAGUAUAAGGAAGGUCAGAGAGAGCUUCACUGUGUCUUUGUGGAUCUAGAGAAAGGAUAUGGUGCCAAGCGUGUGGGGUACUGCGUGAGGAUGUCAGGAGUAGCAGAGGAGUAUGUCAAGGUGGUGCAGGACAUG
Neolamprologus brichardi is the source of this 617-nucleotide non-coding RNA. The record is from RefSeq and is a predicted model, not a curated record. Lineage: Eukaryota; Metazoa; Chordata; Actinopteri; Cichliformes; Cichlidae.